AUGGCCGCCAGAAGGCACGCCGGGAGCAGCUCCGGUUCCACUUCGGCGAACCUAAGCAUGAAGCUGCUGGUGGAGGUGGACAGACGCGGCACGCCCAGGCGCGUGGUGUACGCCGAGGCUGGCAAGGACGUCGUCGACUUCCUCCUCACCUUCCUCACCUUGCCGAUCGGCACGGUCGUCAAGCUGCUCCGGAGGAACUCCAUGCCCAUGGUAGGCUGCGUCGGCAACCUCACCGGCGGCUUUGUGAGGGCGGGCGUGACCUACACGGUCAUGGACGACCUCGAGGUUGCUCCCAGGUCUAACGUCGAUUUCAUCACCAGCCUCAACAAAUAUGGUAUCAGGGACAUCAGCUGUCUCCACGGGAAGGAUGUCCAAGUUGGCCACACCGAGGGUCUCCAGAUACUGAGGGCGUCACUCAAGUCGAAGACGGUCCUCACCGACGUCUUCCUUCGGACGAACACUCCGAGUCCGAGUCCGAGGGCCUUAACCGCAGGGUGA
RNAcentral lists this ribosomal RNA (498 nucleotides) under Triticum aestivum (bread wheat). Its description in RNAcentral is "partial small subunit ribosomal RNA". Lineage: Eukaryota; Viridiplantae; Streptophyta; Magnoliopsida; Poales; Poaceae. The record is from RNAcentral.